AAAACUUUCAACAACGGAUCUCUUGGUUCUGGCAUCGAUGAAGAACGCAGCGAAAUGCGAUAAGUAAUGUGAAUUGCAGAAUUCAGUGAACCAUCGAAUCUUUGAACGCACAUUGCGCCCCUUGGUAUUCCGGGGGGCAUGCCUGUUCGAGCGUCAUUG
Molecule: ribosomal RNA, 159 nt
Filed under: Caloplaca vitellinula
Lineage: Eukaryota; Fungi; Ascomycota; Lecanoromycetes; Teloschistales; Teloschistaceae
Description: 5.8S ribosomal RNA
Rfam family: 5.8S ribosomal RNA
About the family: 5.8S ribosomal RNA (5.8S rRNA) is a component of the large subunit of the eukaryotic ribosome. It is transcribed by RNA polymerase I as part of the 45S precursor that also contains 18S and 28S rRNA. Functionally, it is thought that 5.8S rRNA may be involved in ribosome translocation.
Source: RNAcentral